CAGGGAGACAACAAAAUGUUUAAUAUUAUUAUUUUGUCACCUUAGGUCGAUCGGUACCUCACGUUCUUGAUUUAUUAAGAAUUUCAUAUCCUAAGUUUUUCUAGGUCACACCCAUUAUUUUUCCUGGGCCAUUAGCUCAGGUGGUUAGAGCGCAUCCCUGAUAAGGGUGAGGUCCCUGGUUCAAGUCCAGGAUGGCCCAUAUCUCUAUGUUGGGGGUAUAGCUCAGCUGGUAGAGCGCCUGCUUUGCAAGCAGGAUGUCAGCGGUUCGAGUCCGCUUACCUCCACUGAUUACCACCUCUUCCAUAAUUGGUAGAAAGGAAAUGUUUUGAGUUGUGAUCAAAUUCUGAACGAAUCUAGCUUCCUAAUGUAAUUAUUAAGAUGCUGGAUUCAUUGAAUUAAUUUCAUUGUUUUCAGAGAACCUUGACAACUGCAUAGAUUAUUUUUAAAGACAAUAAGCAUCUUUAAUGAUGCAGAUUUAUUAUUUUUGCUAAUGCAUUAAUAACAAUUCUAUUAAGCUGAUGCUUCAAUUUUUGAAGUUAUU
This 541-nucleotide transfer RNA is filed under the name uncultured cyanobacterium. RNAcentral describes it as "partial miscellaneous RNA". The stretch from base 212 to 284 matches the Rfam family "tRNA". Lineage: Bacteria; Bacillati; Cyanobacteriota. The record is from RNAcentral.